UGGGCAAAUACCAGAGUGGCCAAAUGGGGCAGACUGUAAAUCUGCUGUCUUUCGACUUCGGUGGUUCGAAUCCAUCUUUGCCCACAUU
Molecule: transfer RNA, 88 nt
Filed under: Phocaeicola vulgatus PC510
Lineage: Bacteria; Pseudomonadati; Bacteroidota; Bacteroidia; Bacteroidales; Bacteroidaceae
Description: tRNA-Tyr
Rfam family: tRNA
About the family: Transfer RNA (tRNA) molecules are approximately 80 nucleotides in length. Their secondary structure includes four short double-helical elements and three loops (D, anti-codon, and T loops). Further hydrogen bonds mediate the characteristic L-shaped molecular structure. tRNAs have two regions of fundamental functional importance: the anti-codon, which is responsible for specific mRNA codon recognition, and the 3' end, to which the tRNAs corresponding amino acid is attached (by aminoacyl-tRNA synthetases). tRNAs cope with the degeneracy of the genetic code in two manners: having more than one tRNA (with a specific anti-codon) for a particular amino acid; and 'wobble' base-pairing, i.e. permitting non-standard base-pairing at the 3rd anti-codon position.
Source: RNAcentral